Molecule: RNA transcript, 3001 nt
Organism: Triticum aestivum (bread wheat)
Lineage: Eukaryota; Viridiplantae; Streptophyta; Magnoliopsida; Poales; Poaceae
Gene name: protein WHAT'S THIS FACTOR 9, mitochondrial
Exons: 2
Source: RefSeq, a predicted model, not a curated record
CAGGCCGAGUGGCAAGGUCAUAGAACCUUUGCGGAAUUUGUCUCUUCUUCCACCUCUGCCCACCUGGCCGCUCCCCCUUGUACGCAUUUGCCCGAACACUCCACGCGCGCCGCCAGCCACCCUCGCCCACCGCCGUCUCCUCCACUCACCACACCAGCCACCUCCCCCGCCGCCGCCUCGCCAUGCAGAAGGUGCGGCUCAAGUGGGUGAAGAACCGCGGGCUGGACCACAUCAUCGACCGGACCACCUCCAUCCGCGCGUCCUGCCUCAUGCUCGACUACCUCGCCCGCCAGCCGUCGUCCCCGGUGCCGGCCCGCGCCCUCGCGCGCUUCCAGAAGCCGCUCGGCCUCACCGUCCCCGUGCUCCGCUUCCUCCGCCGCCACCCGACCCUCUUCGCCGAGCAGCCGCACCCGCGCUUCCCCACCCUCCCCGCCUUCUCCCUCACCUCCGCCUCCGACAUCCUCCUCGCGCGCCUCGCCCGCGCCUCCGCCGUCGACUCCCACCUCCGCCUCGCGCGCCUCCUCCUCCUCACCCGCUCCAGGUCGCUCCCGCUGGCCUCCAUCCUCCCGCUCCGCUUCGACCUCGGCCUGCCCUACGACUUCGCCUCCUCCUUCCCCUCCUCCCACCCCGACCUCUUCGCCGUCUCCAACAACCACAUCUCGCUCUCCACCUCCCGCCUCCCCGACGACAUCGCCAUAUCCUCCCUCCAGCGCCGCCACGCCGAGGCCAUCACCGGGGCGACCUACCGCGACCUGUCCCGUCCGCCGUCCUCGUCGCAUGCCCCCCUCGCGUUCCCGAUGCGGUUCCCGCGUGGGUACGGAGGGAUGAAGAAGGUCAAGGCCUGGAUGGACGAUUUCCACCGGCUACCUUACAUCUCGCCGUAUGAUGAUGCCUCAGGGAUCGACCCUGACAGCGACAUCUACGAGAAGAGGAACAUUGGUUUGCUGCAUGAGUUGCUCGGGCUGAUGGUGCACAAGAUGGUCCGGAGGAAUGCGAUCCGUUUGCUCCGCGAGGAGCUUGGCCUGCCUCACAAGUUCACGAGGUUGUUUACAAGGUAUCCUGGAGUGUUCUACCUGUCGUUGAAGUGCAAAACGACGACGCUCGUGCUUCGCGAGGGGUACGAGAGGGGGAAGCUUGUGGAGAAGCACCCCCUCGCGGCGGUGAGGGACAAGGUACAGUAUGUGAUGCGCACUGGCGUGUUGUACCGUGGGAAGGGCUUGUCCAAGCUGGUUUUAGACGAAGAUGACGAUGAAGAGGAGGGUACACUGGAUGGAGAUGAGGAGUUUCAAGGAGAGGGGAUGGAUGAGGAUGCUGAUGUUGAGUGCUUUGGAAUGGAGAUUGUGGAUGAUGACGGGCCUGGCAAUGAUGAUUAUGAUGAACGCGAUAGUUACGAUUGACACUGGAUGGUGAUUUCUGCUUGCUGCAUGUUGCUGUUUUGAGAUGAUGGGCGGUGACUUCAUGAGCCAAAGUGAUGCUGAUCAUGGAGCCUUUGCAGUCUUGGCAACUUCUGUAGGACAAAUGAUUUGAGCUUGCCACGAUUAUUCUGAAGCCACGUUCUUCCUUUCUUGUUUUCUUAAAAAUGGUGCGGUUUUGGUUAUGUCUGGCUUAAUUUGCCCCGCAUAAAAUUUCUUUAGCAAGUUCAAUGUGACUUUCAGUGAUAAUUUUAGAGGUUACAAGUCUUAAAUGCUGUAUUAAAAUCUGAAAUGCUCAUAAACUGCUACCACUUUCAAGUAUCUUGGGUUUUUCAACUGGCGCCUCCAAGGCUCCAACUCCAAGGUUAGGAAAUCAGGUGGUAUGCUCUUCUGCUUCAGUUCACUUCUUGAAUUUGGCAGAUGAUUUUCUGCUCCAUUGUCAGAGCAUCAAUAGUGUGUGUAAUGUUAAGUCAUCUUCUCAGUCUCAGUGUGCACUGUGCACACCUGGGUGAUUGAUAUAAGUUGCUUUACGAAGUCUUGCCAAUUGAAGUUGCUUAGUGUGGGUAUCAGUUCCUCUGGGAAUGCUAGAAAUUGUUUUUGUUUCCAUCAUAAACGGUGCUGAUAUGUUGAGCUGCUUUGAUCAACCCCGGUCUUAGCUGCACUUAUCUGCGUUUGCCGGCCAAAGAAUUAUUUGUCCAGGUUUCUUGCCCUCUUUUCAUUUUGCUAUCAGAAUUCCUUGGACUUCAUAAUUUGCUAGGCAGUUUGUCCCGUGCUGAUGUAAAUGCUGAAGAUGGGAUGUUGUAAACUUGUUACUGAUUCAAUUGUGCAUCUGUAUUGCACCUGUUGGUGAAUCAAUAGUACCGGCUAUCUGUCUACACAUAAAUAAAUAUGGUCUUGAUAUCCGUUUGAAAACAAUUUGUUUGGCGAUACCAUCGGGGCGAUACCAUCGGGGCAUCAGGUGAGGUGACAUGCUCAGUUCGCCACAUUUUUUUGUACUGAAUGCCAGAGUGCUAGCGUUAGGUGGCCCAGCGGACUGCAUACUUUGUUCCAUGAUUUGUUGCUUGUUGAUGUAAAUGCAAAAGAUGGAACAUUGUAAACUUGUAAGUGAACCGAUUCUGCCUGUGUAAUUCAGUGGAUACAACAAACUGUCACGGUAUGGAGUCACAUAUCUUCAGGACAAUGGGAAAUUUCAGGUUUCUGAGGACAGAAUCACAGCAAGCCACCAGCUUUUCAUUCAGCCUUUUAAAAUUACACUGAAAUUUUCAUAUGCAUAAAACAUAUAUAUUGUAGCAUGUUGCACCGACCAUUCUUAAGAUGUUUGUUUUGCUUUUAUGGUGGCAGCAAGGCUCCAAGAACAAAGCAUUGGCUGGGGCUCUGUCCAUUUAUUUACCCCUUGUGGUACAAUUGUCGCAUGAUCCUCCACUAUAUUUUCUUUCUUGCUUAUCUUUUCUUGCGCUAUUCAAAUGCUCAACUUAUAGUACAGGAUCCUCGAAAUGCCACAUGCUUGUUCUAUUUUUUUUCUACUGGAUGUAAAAAUUACAUCAUCCUCCAGCAUCCCAAAGUUUUACCAAGGAAAACAAGAAGGCAAG